Molecule: ribosomal RNA, 1457 nt
Filed under: uncultured Bordetella sp.
Lineage: Bacteria; Pseudomonadati; Pseudomonadota; Betaproteobacteria; Burkholderiales; Alcaligenaceae
Description: partial 16S-23S ribosomal RNA intergenic spacer
Rfam family: Bacterial small subunit ribosomal RNA
Source: RNAcentral
GGUUUGAUUCUGGCUCAGAUUGAACGCUGGCGGGAUGCUUUACACAUGCAAGUCGAACGGCAGCACGGAUCAGUCUGUGGCGAGUGGCGAACGGGUGAGUAAUGUAUCUGGAACGCCUAGUAGCGGGGAUAACUACGCGAAAGCGUAGCCAAUACCGCAUACGCCCUUCGGGGAAAGCGGGGACCUUCGGGCUCCCGCACCAUUAGAGCGGCCGAUAUCGGAUUAGCUAGUUGGUGGGGUAACGGCUCACCAAGGCGACGAUCCGUAGCUGGUUUGAGAGGACGACCAGCCACACUGGGACUGAGACACGGCCCAGACUCCUACGGGAGGCAGCAGUGGGGAAUUUUGGACAAUGGGGGAAACUCCUGAUCCAGCCAUCCCGCGUGUGCGAUGAAGGCCUUCGGGUUGUGUAAAGCACUUUGGCAGGAAGAAACGGCACGGAUAAUACCUCGCGCAACUGACGGUACCUUGCAGAAUAAGCACCGGCUAACCACCGUGCCAGCAGCCGCGGUAAUACGUAGGGUGCAAGCGUUAAUCGGAAUUACUGGGCGUAAAGCGUGCGCAGGCGGUUCGGAAAGAAAGAUGUGAAAUCCCAGAGCUUAACUUUGGAACCGCAUUUUUAACUACCGAGCUAGAGUGUGUCAGAGGGAGGUGAACGCGCAGCAAGGGUUGACAUGGUGAUGAACACCGAUGGCUAGCCAAGCCUCCCGGGGAUAACAUCAUCAGCCACGACCAAGCGUGGGGAACGAUUAGAUACCUGGCAGAACCACGCCCUAAACGAUGUCAACUAGCUGUUGGGGCCUUCGGCCUGGUAGCGCAGCUAACGCGUGAAGUUGACCGCCUCGGGAGUACGGUCGCAAGAUUAAAACUCAAAGGAAUUGAUUUGGACCCGCACAAGCGGUGGAUGAUGUGGAUUAAUUGAUAACGCUGAAAACCUUUACCUACCCUUGACAUGUCUGGAAUCCCGAAGAGAUUUGGGAGUGCUCGCAAGAGAACGAACACAGGUGCUGCAUGGCUGUCGUCAGUCGCUGUGCUGUGAGAUGUUGGGUUAAGUCCCGCAACGAGCACAACCCUUGUCAUUAGUUGCUACGAAAGUGGCACUCUAAUGAGACUGCCGUGGUGACAAAACCGAGGAAGGUGGGGAUGACGUCAAUCCUCAUGGCCCUUAGUGGGUAGGGCUUCACACGUCAUACAAUGGUUUGGGAUGAGGGUCGCCAACCCGCGAGGGGGAGCCAAUCCCAGAAACCCGGAUCAGUCCGGAUCGCAGUCUGCAACUCGACUUCUCUGCGUGAAGUCGGAAUCGCUAGUAAUCGCGGAUCAGCAUGUCGCGGUGAAUACGUCUGGCCCGGUACACACCGCCCGUCGCACCAUGCGGGGAGGUCGGCGUAGUUAGCCUAACCGUAAGGAGGGCGAUUACCACGGUAGAUUCAGACUGGGGUGAAGUCGUAACAAGGCAG